ACAGAGUUUUUCACAGAGUGACCACCUGAUCGCUGCAAAGCUGCUUGACAGCUCGCUCUUCCCACACUUUGUCCUGUCAUUCCCUACAUCUGAGCUUGACCUCUGCUGUGAAACUAUGGCCUGUAGUAAACAAGGAAGAGCUGACCACUCUGUACCACCACGCUGAGUUUCAUACUGAUAAGACAGCCCUGUCUCUGUUAACAUCCGUCAAUGACAACUUAGGAAGCUUUUGCUGAGACUGUUACUCUGCUGAAAAUUAUCAUAACAUCUCCUAUGAUGACAUCUGAGUCAGAGAGGAACUUUUGCACCCUGAAGAGGGUAAAAACUUUUGCUUGCAAUAUCAUGGGACAGCCGUGACUCAGCUUAUGGCCAUGCUGUCCAUCGAAAGCCGGCUGAUUCAGCAGCUACACGACUUCAUCCCCAAAGUCAUCGAGAAGUUUGCCCAGAGGAAAAAGCGCUGCGCCGCCUUUCUCUUCAAGUGAGCUGUCAGCUUUGACCUGCUAGAAGCAAGCCACUGUGCUGUUAAAAGUGUUUUGUGGAGCCAUGCAUGGACCCAUGACAUGUAAAAAAAAAACAUCAGUAGCAAGAAUUACCACCCUUCCCCCCUUCCUACCGCUGUAGUGAUUGCGUGAGCGCACCUGCUCAUCAAGGCCUGGAGGUUAAAGACCAGGAGGAACGGACAGUUGGCAGCUUUUGGGCUGUGUGUUGGUUGUUAUUCUCAGCUAAACUUGAGUUGUGGUGUACGGGGGUCAGUAACUUUGGCUCCCUUUUAGAGGGACUGUGUUUAUUAAUGUUGUGUUUAGCCUCAGUUUAAUUUAACUUGUUUCAUUUGUAUUUAGUUCCAUUUUCUUCUUGCAUAGACAGUAGUUUUCAGUUGGUAUUUUUAAUUAAAUUGUUAAUAAAUUCUUGGUUUGUUCAUAUCCUUCCAUUCUCCUUGCUUCUUUGUGCCCAGGUUAUGUUACUUCCCUCAUCCCCUGGAUUCAUUCAGGCCAGAGAUAUUCUGAUUUCUAACCCAUUUGACAAAGAUCAGGUGUCAGGUGUUUUAAUUGGGGUAUAAAAAGGCUUCUGUAUGGUUUCCAAUACAUUUUCACAUCAAUUAUCCAGACACAGGUCAGUUGGUACAGUAAUGGUCAUGGGAGCACUAACGCUCUGCUUAGGAAUUUGAGUAUUACUUCCCCAGGCAGAUUGAAAUAAGAAUGAGAGAAUGGGAAAGGACCAGAUGAGGAUUAGACUUUGGGUUUAGGAUGAGUCAUGUAUGUGGGAGGAACAGAGCAGGGUUUUGGCUGCGUCUGUGUCUCUGGGUGGGUUUGUGGUUAUAGCCGUGACCAUAGUUACAUUUGCGUCUCCAUGAUGUGAUGCUUGAUGACCUGAAGAAAAUCCUCUAGGAGCCAGAAGUUGCCCCCUCACGGUCCAUUUGAGCCGACACUUUGUGCUGUUGGCUUCAACAUCUCCCGCUGC
Long non-coding RNA from Thunnus maccoyii (southern bluefin tuna), 1458 nucleotides. RefSeq lists it as uncharacterized. The record is from RefSeq and is a predicted model, not a curated record. The transcript is spliced from 3 exons. NCBI's taxonomy places the organism in Eukaryota, Metazoa, Chordata, Actinopteri, Scombriformes, Scombridae.